UUUCCCAGUCACGAUAAGGGUCGUCGUUGACGACCGACAGUGAACUAGUACCGCGAGGGAAAGGUGAAAAGCACCCCUGUUAGGGGAGUGAAAUAGUAACUGCAACCGAUGGCUAACAAGUCAGUGGGAGCAUCUUUAUGAUGUGACCGCCUGCCUUUUGUAUAAUGAGUCUGCGAGUUUUUGCCCGUAGCAAGCCUAAGCCGCUAAGCGGUGAAAGCGUAGCGAAAGCGAGUCCAAAUAGGGCGCUUAGUUGCUGGCAAAAGACCCGAAGGGGAGGUGAUCUAACCAUGGCCAGGAUGAAGCUUCGGUAAAACGAAGUGAAGGUCCGAACCGGUCAAUCUUGAGAAAUUGUCGGAUGAGCUGUGGUUAGGAGCGAAAGACUAAUCAAACCCCCUGAUAGCUGGUUCUUUCCGAAAUAUAUUUGGGUAUAGCCUCGAGUGCUGAUCGACGGAGGUAGAGCACUAAAUAAGCUAGGGCCCCUACCGGGGUACUGAACUUAAUUAAACUCCGAAUACCGUUGAGUGAAGCUCGGGAGUCAGACAGUGCGGGCUAACCUGCAUUGUCAAAAGGAGAAUAAUCCAAACCAUCAGUUAAGGUCCCAAAAUACGGCUCAGUGAAAAAGGAUGUGAAUUUACUUAGACAAUGGGGAUGUUGGCUUAGAGGCAGCCAUCAUUUAAACAGUGCGUAACAGCUGACCCAUCGAGUGAAUUUGCGCCGAAAAUGAUCGGGACUUAAGCCGUAUACCGAAGCUAUGGAUUCAACCGCAAGGUUGAGUGGUAGGAAAGCGUUCCAAGUGCAGCGAAGUGGAAGGGGCAACCAACCAUGGAGCGCUUGGAAGUGAGAAUGCAGACAUAAGUAACGAUAAAGAUGGUUAAAAUCCAUCUCGCCUUAAUUCCAAGGAUUCCUGGGGAAGGUUCGUCCUCCCAGGGUUAGUCGGGUGCUAAGAUGAGGCCGUAAGGAAUAAUCGAUGCCAAGCAGGUUUAAUAUUCCUGCACCACUAAAUGUUCGUUUGAUCUCAGGAGUGACGGAGAAGGUUAAUACAGCGACGUGUUGAAUCGUCGUCCAAGUCAAUAGCUUUAUCGGGGAUAAAAUACCGGUUUAAUGUGAAUGACAAUGGGAUCCCAAAGCCACGGCCUAGGGAGAUUGUCCGAUACCAUGCUCCCAAGAAAAGCUUCGGAGUUAGAACAUUGAGUGCCCGUACCGUAAACCGACACAGGUGGAAUAGUUGAGUAUACUAAGGCGCGCGAGUGAAAUCUCUCUAAGGAACUCGGCAAAUUGACCCCGUAUCUUCGGUAUAAGGGGUGCCCCGUGAGGGGCCGCAGCUAAGCGCAUCAACCGACUGUUUAGCAAAAACACAGCUCUCUGCUAAGUCGCAAGACGACGUAUAGGGAGUGACACGUGACCAAUGCGGAAAGGUGAAAGCGUGAGGUGCAAGCUUCGCGUCUAAGCCCCCGUGAAUGUCGGCCGUAACUAUAACGGUCCUAAGGUAGCGAAAUUCCUUGUCGGGUAAGUUCCGACCCGCGCGAAUGGU
Molecule: ribosomal RNA, 1531 nt
Filed under: freshwater metagenome
Description: bacterial LSU rRNA
Rfam family: Bacterial large subunit ribosomal RNA
Source: RNAcentral